Molecule: RNA transcript, 2375 nt
Organism: Lycium barbarum (goji berry)
Lineage: Eukaryota; Viridiplantae; Streptophyta; Magnoliopsida; Solanales; Solanaceae
Exons: 3
Source: RefSeq, a predicted model, not a curated record
UGAAGACACUUAAUAUUUAUCAAACUAUUUUUAAUCAACUAAAUCAAAACAGACUUUUUAUGAUAUCGAUGAGAGUCUGCCACGUAAUAGUGCGCGAGUUUCAUUCUCAUUAACCCCUUAUCAAAGGCAGAUCCCAAGAUUUAUAUUUUGUGAUUUAAAUUUUAAUAUUUUUAAUAUUGAAUCUAUUAUAUAUUAAAAGUGGUACUUUUUUUUUUUUUACUGUUUCUGUGUUUUUGUUUCGUGUGGUGAAUUCAUACCUAUUAUAUAUAUUAUAAUUUUAAUUUUUUUUUACACAUAAAUAUGUUUUCGCCUCGAAAGUUAAGGCUUCAAUUGAACCUCACUUAUAAGGCUAGCUAGAUACGCCACUGCCCCUUACUCUUGCCCAAUGAAAAAAAAAAAAGUAAAGGAAGAUAAGAAAUAUUAAGAAAUUUUACGUCGUAUAGUCGCCCAUCAAAAUAAUAACCACUAAAUAUAUUCUUUUUAACAUAUAAUAUUAUUUUAUGCAUAAUAUUAUUUUAAUUAUUUUUUUAUGAGCGAUCAAAUCUAUAUCUAUAUAAUUAUUUAAAGCAAGGAAAUAGGAGUCUGACGUAGCACGUCUGAGAAUCCAGGGAUUUCAUUUAUCUCUUUUCGCAGAUUUUUGAAGCUUUUCUCUCAUUUUAAUACAAUAUAUAUAUUUAAAGGCUUAAACCUAAAAACUAAGAUUUUAAUUAUAGCUGUAUAAUAAAUGAGGAAAGAUAGAAAGGAACAGUUUCAAAACACAUAGACGUCCGUUCCAAGAAUGACUUUUCAGAUUGAACAAUCAAGAGAAACCAUGAAAAGAAACGUAGAGGGAAUCAGGGAAACCAUUCAAAUAAGCCUAAGACAUCCAUUUCAAGAUUUCUAUUAUUGCGGGAAGAACCCGAUGGAGAAGAAGGCAAAUGCUGUGAAGAAGCUUUCCGAAAAUGUUUGAAGAAAUCUCCUGACAGAGAGGAAGACGAAGGCUGUGAAGAAGCUUUCUGAAAAUGGUGGUUUUAGUUGCUGCUAUCCGUUUCUAUUUUUCCCUUCUUUUUUUUUUUCUUAUCUCUUUAUUAUUGUUACUAUUUUGUUUUUCAUGUUGUUCUUUUGUUUCAAAAUCUAAUUUCUCAGGUCGGAACGGAGAAAUCUUCCGACGAAGAAAACGGCGAAGGUUGUUUAGAAGCUUUCCGAAAAUGUGGGUGAAAAAAUUGUUUCUUUUGAGGAUCGAAUCUCAGUUCUUCUGUAUAAUCUUCAUGGAAUAUGCCCAGGUGGGUACAAAUAAUUAUGGAUGCCUAGACUAACAUUUGAUUAAUUUCCUGUUUGAUGUUUCAAGUUUAUUUUGAAUAGUGAAGAACUCUUCAAACUAAAGUGAGAAGAAAAUUGAAGCUGCGAUCUCUUACCUGCUGCCAAAGUACACUUCUACAGAUUUUUAUUUUAAAAUUGCUUGUGAUUUUGUACUUUUACUCACUGCUCAUAGCUGUAAGUUUUUUUUCCACCAAAAAUUUUCUUAUUGUUUGUGAUGUGUGUUUUCCUUUAUCUCUAUGUAAUAGCUUUCCUAUUAGCAAGUCUACAUAUUUUUGUUAUGCUGUCGUCUACUUUGUGAGAUUUAAUUACUCUCGACUAGAUUUACAUACUGAAUGCUCAUCUAACUUUUGCGGCAUAGAUAUAAUGGUACUAAAAUAAGGUGUUUGUUUGUCUUUUGUUGUAUUUGUUUGUUAAAACUUCUUGACUACUGUUGAGUUGCAGGUUGAACUUUCAGCAUCUGUAAGUACUCCACCUUUCCUAUGAAAUAAUUAUAUAUGCACUAAUGUGCUUGCCUGGAACCAUCUGCAUAUAUUUGAACUAAUCUGCUUGCUACUCUCAGGCGUACCAGUUUCAACUAAUAUGCUUAAUACUCUCAGGAUUAUUGUAACUCUAUGAUACUGGAAUCAUCACAUGACCAGAUUUAUGCCACUGAUGAUAUUGCAAAAUCUCAAGAGAAUGGAACCUUUCAGCAAAAUUAAGAAUUUACAGAGUGUGUAUCCCUUUAUCCUUAUUAAUAUUUCCCUGCACCAAUCUUGAUUAUAUUGUAUGGGUUGCUAUAAACAUGCAGGCAUGGUUGAAUGACAUUCGCCUGUUACUAUUCCGGAUAAAGCUUACAUUUUACAUUCUAUACAUAAAUGGUGGAAAAAAAUUUAUGCUAUCAAGUCAUUCGAAAUGCAAUUGUAGGUAACUCUAUACAUUUAUAGUUUAUCUGAAAUAAAUGUUCAGUAAUUUGAUACCAACAGAAUAGGUCAGGUUUAUUUUCUUUUAUAUAGCUUCAAUACUGCAGGAUGAAUCUCAUUUCUAUUGUUGGACUUUUUGUUCAUUCGGGUAUAAUAAGUUGACAUUUUGUAUGCUCA